CCUACGGGAGGCAGCAGUGGGGGAUAUUGCACAAUGGGGGAAACCCUGAUGCAGCGACGCCGCGUGUGGGAAGACGGUCCUCUGGAUUGUAAACCACUGUCCCCAGGGACGAAGAUGACGGUACCUGGGGAGGAAGCUCCGGCUAACUACGUGCCAGCAGCCGCGGUAAUACGUAGGGAGCGAGCGUUGUCCGGAAUUACUGGGUGUAAAGGGAGCGUAGGCGGGACUGCAAGUUGGGUGUCAAAUCUACCGGCUCAACCGGUAGCCGCACUCAAAACUGCAGUUCUUGAGUGAAGUAGAGGCAGGCGGAAUUCCUAGUGUAGCGGUGAAAUGCGUAGAUAUUAGGAGGAACACCAGUGGCGAAGGCGGCCUACUGGGCUUUUACUGACGCUGAGGCUCGAAAGUGUGGGGAGCAAACAGGAUUAGAUACCCGGGUAGUC
RNAcentral lists this ribosomal RNA (440 nucleotides) under uncultured bacterium. Its description in RNAcentral is "partial 16S ribosomal RNA". It matches the Rfam family "Bacterial small subunit ribosomal RNA", at positions 338 to 795 of the family's 1533-position model. The record is from RNAcentral.